Non-coding RNA from Phascolarctos cinereus (koala), 351 nucleotides. NCBI's taxonomy places the organism in Eukaryota, Metazoa, Chordata, Mammalia, Diprotodontia, Phascolarctidae. The record is from RefSeq and is a predicted model, not a curated record.
GCACAUUUUGAGUUCAUGUUUCCAGUCAUCUGUUGUCACGCUUCCUUGCUAUCAAGAUGAGGAAACUGAAGACUGAAGACACUAAGUGAUUUGCACAUGGUCACACCACCAGCCAGAGCCUGGAACAAAAUAAAUGCUUAAUAGAUGUUUGUCGAUGUGUUUGUUGAAGCUAACUGAGCAAAAGAGAUGGAGCUGCUUUGAUACACAUGGAACUGCCUAUUACAUGUGACAUUUGACUCUUAGAGCAGUGUUCCCCAAAGCCCUAUCAGAACAUUCAAAAAUGAAGCCUGACCAAACCAGUCACAAGAAAACUGAACCACUUUUUACUUACGUAAGUAGGAAGAAUCAAUU